Molecule: ribosomal RNA, 447 nt
Filed under: uncultured bacterium
Lineage: Bacteria
Description: bacterial SSU rRNA
Rfam family: Bacterial small subunit ribosomal RNA
Source: RNAcentral
CCAGACUCCUACGGGAGGCAGCAGUGGGGAAUAUUGCACAAUGGGGGAAACCCUGAUGCAGCAACGCCGCGUGAGUGAGGAAGUAUUUUGGUAUGUAAAGCUCUAUCAGCAGGGAAUAGAAAAGAAGGUACCUGAAAAAGAAGCCCCGGCUAACUACGUGCCAGCAGCCGCGGUAAUACGUAGGGGGCAAGCGUUAUCCGGAUUUACUGGGUGUAAAGGGAGCGUAGACGGAAAGGCAAGUCAGAAGUGAAAGCCCAAGGCUCAACCAUGGGACUGCUUUUGAAACUGUCAAACUAGAGUACGGGAGAGGUAAGAGGAAUUCCUAGUGUAGCGGUGAAAUGCGUAGAUAUUAGGAGGAACACCAGUGGCGAAGGCGUCUUACUGGACCGAAACUGACGUUGAGGCUCGAAAGCGUGGGGAGCAAACAGGAUUAGAUACCCCUGUAUC